Molecule: long non-coding RNA, 767 nt
Organism: Rosa chinensis
Lineage: Eukaryota; Viridiplantae; Streptophyta; Magnoliopsida; Rosales; Rosaceae
Exons: 2
Source: RefSeq, a predicted model, not a curated record
AGAUCAGAUGGACGCCCCAGAAUGAUCGAGAGGUUUCUGGGCUCUUCGACCCGGAUUCUCGAUCCGGUAACCGGCGAAGGAGAUCCGACGGAAUCAUAUCCGUCCGGCCGCGACGCGCUGACGGAUCACCAGCGUUAGAACGGCCUCGACGUCGCCGACAUCCCUCUUGUAUCGGUUUGGUCGAUCGUCGACCCUGGGGCGAGAAUCGAAGCCGUGAAGCUCUGAAUUCUCCGGCAGUUCCUCGGCUGUUUCCGGCAACGGAAUGAUCUGUAUGAGAUUGAUUUCGACGAUGACUCCCUCUAGAGCAAGAAUCGGUGGUCGGGUGGUCUUCAAUUUUGUGACUUUAGGAGGAAGGAGCCAUUUUCGUCGUGGUGAAGUGUAGGAACAGCGAAGUCGGUGUAGGUAUUAUGACGGGGACGACCACCAGUUGGUUGCGUUCUUUGUAGAGAAAGCAAAGGCAGUAGCUUAAAGAGCAAUCUUGAACUCGUUUGUCUGAGGUAGGCUGGAGAUUAUGGUUAUUGUUCGAACUUUGGUCGUUUCGUCCAGAAUAUAGUUUUGAAUGGUGAAUUUGAUGUGUGAUGUUUUCUGUAAGUUUAGUUAUUGACGAUCCAGAAUUGAAGUUCGAAUGGGAUACUGCUAGUUUCAGUGAACCUGGUUUUGGUUAUGAACUGGCAGUGAGGAUCCUUGGAAAGCAUGAAAGUAUUUGUUGUGUGAGACUGUACGUGAUUAGAAACUUGAACCUUCCGAUUAGAAUUUGAUUUGAGCAA